This 441-nucleotide ribosomal RNA is filed under the name Triticum aestivum (bread wheat). RNAcentral's name for it is "partial small subunit ribosomal RNA". The record is from RNAcentral. Lineage: Eukaryota; Viridiplantae; Streptophyta; Magnoliopsida; Poales; Poaceae.
AUGGUGCAAUGCCCGAGUUUGUAUAGGAUUGUUAGACAUAAAUUUUUCACCAUCAAACAAGUUUUGGGACAAGAAAACCCUGAUAUUUCUUUCUGUAGGGACCUUUUAGGACCUCGCCUGGCAGCUUGGAAUGAGCUACUCAUACGUCUAGAGGCUAUUCAGCUGUCAGAUGAACCGGACAUCUUUCGAUGGAAUUUGCAUCAGAAUGGCAAGUUUACAGUCAAAUCCAUGUAUGAUGCAAUGGUGCAUUGUGAUGUUCCGGUUGAUAACAGGAAAAGGUGGAAGCUUAAACUCCCUCUAAGAGUGAAGAUAUUCCUCUGGUUCCUAAACAGAGGGGUCAUCUUAACUAGAGAUAAUCUGGCACGAUGCAACUGGCAAGGCACCAAGGCGUGUUUUUGCCAACAUGACGAGUCUAUUAAGCACUUAUUUUUUGAGUGUUAA